UACAAACUGGCAGAAAAUUAUGCAUAUGAUUUAGGGUCAUACUAUAAGUUUAUACUUGUUUGUAA
RNAcentral lists this transfer RNA (65 nucleotides) under Gregariella coralliophaga. RNAcentral's name for it is "tRNA-Leu". Lineage: Eukaryota; Metazoa; Mollusca; Bivalvia; Mytilida; Mytilidae. The record is from RNAcentral.